This 465-nucleotide ribosomal RNA is filed under the name uncultured Klebsiella sp. RNAcentral's name for it is "bacterial SSU rRNA". It matches the Rfam family "Bacterial small subunit ribosomal RNA", at positions 338 to 795 of the family's 1533-position model. The record is from RNAcentral. Lineage: Bacteria; Pseudomonadati; Pseudomonadota; Gammaproteobacteria; Enterobacterales; Enterobacteriaceae.
CCUACGGGCGGCAGCAGUGGGGAAUAUUGCACAAUGGGCGCAAGCCUGAUGCAGCCAUGCCGCGUGUGUGAAGAAGGCCUUCGGGUUGUAAAGCACUUUCAGCGGGGAGGAAGGCGUUAAGGUUAAUAACCUUGGCGAUUGACGUUACCCGCAGAAGAAGCACCGGCUAACUCCGUGCCAGCAGCCGCGGUAAUACGGAGGGUGCAAGCGUUAAUCGGAAUUACUGGGCGUAAAGCGCACGCAGGCGGUCUGUCAAGUCGGAUGUGAAAUCCCCGGGCUCAACCUGGGAACUGCAUUCGAAACUGGCAGGCUAGAGUCUUGUAGAGGGGGGUAGAAUUCCAGGUGUAGCGGUGAAAUGCGUAGAGAUCUGGAGGAAUACCGAUGGCGAAGGCGGCCCCCUGGACAAAGACUGACGCUCAGGUGCGAAAGCGUGGGGAGCAAACAGGAUUAGAUACCCCAGUAGUC